GUCUCAGUAGCAAAGUGGUUAAUGCACAGCCCCGGAUAGGUUGAGACACGCGGGUUCGAAUCCCGCGUGAGAUG
Molecule: non-coding RNA, 74 nt
Organism: Nippostrongylus brasiliensis
Lineage: Eukaryota; Metazoa; Nematoda; Chromadorea; Rhabditida; Heligmosomidae
Source: Rfam